AUGAAUUUGUUGUUUAUUGCAGGUGAAGCAACGUGGAGGAAGGAUCAUAGAGGCGGUUGCAGAUUCGUUGAUGUUAUUGUUGUUUAUGCAUUUCUGAUUUAUAUUUGUUUUUCUGAUUUGUUGAUAUUCUCUUGGAUGCUGAUUUCCUGCUAUUUGUUCUUCCGGUAUUUAUUUCCUGAUACGAUUUCUCUUAUUUGCUCGGUUUCUGGUUUAUUGAAAUUUUCUGGUUUUAUUCUCUAA
Molecule: non-coding RNA, 240 nt
Organism: Vicia faba (fava bean)
Lineage: Eukaryota; Viridiplantae; Streptophyta; Magnoliopsida; Fabales; Fabaceae
Source: the annotation of a GenBank genome assembly